This 395-nucleotide ribosomal RNA is filed under the name uncultured bacterium. RNAcentral describes it as "partial 16S ribosomal RNA". It matches the Rfam family "Bacterial small subunit ribosomal RNA", at positions 360 to 772 of the family's 1533-position model. The record is from RNAcentral.
AAUCUUGCGCAAUGGGCGAAAGCCUGACGCAGUCAUGCCGCGUGAAUGAUGAAGGUCUUAGGAUUAAAAAAAUCUUUCACCGGGGACGAUAAUGACGGUACCCGGAAAAGAAGCCCCGGUCAACUUCGUGCCAGCAGCCGCGGUAAUACGAAGGGGGCUACCGUUGCUCGGAAUUACUGGGCGUAAAGGGCGCGUAGGCGGAUCGUUAAGUCAGGGGUGAAAUCCCGGGGCUCAACCUCGGAACUGCCCUUGAUACUGGCGAUCUUGAGUAUGAGAAAGGUAUGUGGAACUCCGAGUGUAGAGGUGAAAUUCGUAGAUAUUCGGAAGAACACCAGUGGCGAAGGCGACAUACUGGCUCAUUACUGACGCUGAGGCGCGAAAGCGUGGGGAGCAAA